Molecule: non-coding RNA, 1827 nt
Organism: Amborella trichopoda
Lineage: Eukaryota; Viridiplantae; Streptophyta; Magnoliopsida; Amborellales; Amborellaceae
Source: RefSeq, a predicted model, not a curated record
CAGUGGCCGUUUGUCGAGCCGCCCGCGCUCUGUUUCUCAGAACCUGCUCCAUUGCUUAAAUGACCAAAACUCUCUCUCUCUCGCUCUCGCUCUCGCUCUCGCUCUCGCUCUCUUUCUCUCUCAUCUCUCUCUCUAGAGGACAAUAACAAGACACUGAAUCUCCAUUUCCUUUAGCAAAGGAAGAAACCGAUCCCAUAAGAAGUCGUGGUUCAUAAGUUAAACUUAAGUUUUCAUCACUUUGAUCAUUUGGAAGGCCUGAGCUGAGCAUCAAAAUGGGCUACAUUGGCCAUCAUGGUGUAGGGGCUCUCCACAGAUAUAAAUACAGUGGUGUGGAUAAGUCUUUUCUUGCUAAACAUGUCUUACAACCCUUCUGGAGUCGCUUUGUGUCUUUAUUCCCCCUUUGGAUGCCGCCAAAUAUGAUUACGCUUUUGGGCUUUAUGUUCUUGGUGAUAUCUGUCCUCCUGGCAUAUAUGUAUUCGCCUUUCUUGGAUACUGCUCCUCCAAGGUGGGUUCAUGUUGCACAUGGAUUGCUUUUAUUUUUAUAUCAGACUUUUGAUGCUGUUGACGGGAAGCAAGCAAGGCGUACGAACUCAUCCAGUCCUUUGGGAGAACUUUUUGAUCAUGGAUGUGAUGCCCUUGCUUGUGCGUUUGAGGCCUUAGCUUUUGGAAGCUCUGUUAUGUGUGGAGGGAAUAUUUUCUGGUUCUGGGUAAUUGCAGCAGUUACAUUUUACACUGCCACAUGGGAGCACUUUUUCACAAACACCCUAAUUCUUCCAGAAGUAAAUGGGCCCACAGAAGGUCUUAUGCUGAUUUACAUGGCCCACUUUUUUACUGCUAUCGUCGGUGCACAAUGGUGGGUGCAGGAUUUCAGGAAGUCUCUACCCUUUUUGAGUUGGCUUACUUUUAUUCCUGAUGCAGAAGUUCCCAUGUAUGGCGUUGUGUUAUUUCUUAUGAUUGUUUGUGGUGUGGUACCAACGGUAGCAUUCAAUGUUUACAAUGUCUACAAAGUAGUUCAAGCCAGACGGGGAAGCAUGUUGUUAGCAUUAGCCAUGCUAAUUCCUUUCAUCGCGCUCUUGGGAGGAGUUUUAACCUGGGCUUUCCUAUCACCAUCUGAUAUCGUGCACACUCAACCAUAUUUGCUUGUUUUGGGAACUGGAUCUGCAUUUGGCUUCCUUGUGGGAAGGAUGAUUUUGGCGCACUUAUGUGAUGAACCCAAAGGAUUGAAAACUGGAAUGUGUAUGUCUCUAUUGUAUCUUCCCCUUGCCAUUGCGAAUGCUCUCUCUGCAAGACUUCUUGGCGGAACUCCUUUUAUCGAUGAGCGAAUAGUUAUGCUUGGGUAUUGUGCCUUCACAGUGGCACUCUACAUGCAUUUCGCCAUGUCUGUGGUUCAUGAAAUCACUACUGCAUUGGGCAUCUACUGCUUCAGGAUAACAAGGAAAGAAGCUUGAAGGAGCGAUGUGCAAUUUGGUUUGGUAUGAUUUACUUGCCACGAUUGAAUGUAUUUGUUAUCUGAGUUACUGGGUUCUCCUCUUAUGUCAUAUGGAAUUGCGUAUCCGGCAAGAAGGUUCAUUUCUCUAUCACAAUAAAUACUAAUUUAUGCACAUUGUGUGCAAAAUAAGAUUAAAUGUUGGAUGUAUGAGAAGUUCAUGUGAAAUGUGGCUGCAGUAUCAGUUUUUGACCCACAUUAUCAACACUAGCUUGCUCCACUGGAAAACCAAUAUCAGAGUCUUCAAGUGAAAUUAUCAUGAUGGCAUGUCGCAAACCAUUAACAUGCGUAUGUAUUUGUAUUAUGCUUUUUGGUGCUAAUGGAUCUUUGGCACGUAAUCA